UACGUAGGGGGCAAGCGUUGUCCGGAUUCAUUGGGCGUAAAGCGCGUGUAGGCGGCCAGGUAGGUCCGACGUGAAAACUGGAGGCUCAACCUCCAGCUGUCGUUGGAAACCAUCUGGCUAGAGUCCGGAAGAGGAGAGUGGAAUUCCUGGUGUAGCGGUGAAAUGCGCAGAUAUCAGGAAGAACACCAAUGGCGAAGGCAGCUCUCUGGGACGGUACUGACGCUGAGACGCGAAGGCGUGGGGAGCGAACAGG
This 253-nucleotide ribosomal RNA is filed under the name uncultured bacterium. RNAcentral's name for it is "partial 16S ribosomal RNA". It matches the Rfam family "Bacterial small subunit ribosomal RNA", at positions 524 to 776 of the family's 1533-position model. The record is from RNAcentral.